UAUAUCGACACGGAUGGCGACUGGAAAACUGCAGCGUGCAACAACACAUAUUAUUCCCUCUGCAAACGAUCCAAAGUUGUUGCCCCCACAGAUUCCCCUCAGCUGCCGGGUAACUGCCCCGAAUCAGAUCAGCGACGAGGUUGGAUUCCGUUCAGAGGACACUGCUAUACAUUCAUGAGCUCUCGGAGAGAAAACUGGGCUCAUGCCACAGUGGAAUGUCUGAGAAUGGGUGCAUCUUUAUUGAGUAUUGAGGACCCAAUAGAAUCAAAGUUUAUCCGUCAGAAUCUGGAGAUCCUUCAAGAUGAAGUCGACUCAGUCUGGAUCGGAAUGCACCGCAGUCAUACGGGUGAAUGGAUGUGGAUUGAUAGUGC
Long non-coding RNA from Triplophysa rosa, 371 nucleotides. RefSeq lists it as uncharacterized. NCBI's taxonomy places the organism in Eukaryota, Metazoa, Chordata, Actinopteri, Cypriniformes, Nemacheilidae. The record is from RefSeq and is a predicted model, not a curated record. The transcript has 4 exons.